GUUGCUCAAUAUUUUGCAGAGCUGGAGUGAAUGCUGAAAGACAGUAAUCAACAUUCAUGGAACUGUAAACAUCUGCUCGGCUCAAUCAUUUUGCAGAGAUGCCUCUUCAAUUUUGCCAGACAUGUGGAGCAGGUCAAUAUGCUGCACUUGCCAAUGCCGUAUGGGAGUGCUGGUCAGGGUUGCAACAUCGUAAAAUCUGCAACAACAACUGGGGCUGUGAUAUGUGAACAUGAGUUGUGAUCACUACUCAAAAGGCAAGAGAAAGUAAGCAGAGUAAGCAAAAGAACAUUCCCAACAGACAAACUUAUCAACGAGGCAGGAAUGUGGGUUGUGCCAUAUAGAAUUUUAUUCUGGUCAUUUAUAUGCACGGAGGGUUGGUUGACUGGAAACAAAAAUGCUCUUGGUCUGUUUCUGAUGUUGAUAUGUUACUCAGCCUAAAUAAAACUUUUCUUUGAAUCAGGUUAAUAAAAAGAGA
Molecule: long non-coding RNA, 475 nt
Organism: Chrysemys picta bellii (western painted turtle)
Lineage: Eukaryota; Metazoa; Chordata; Testudines; Emydidae
Source: RefSeq, a predicted model, not a curated record